This 200-nucleotide ribosomal RNA is filed under the name uncultured bacterium. RNAcentral's name for it is "partial 16S ribosomal RNA". It matches the Rfam family "Bacterial small subunit ribosomal RNA", at positions 335 to 527 of the family's 1533-position model. The record is from RNAcentral.
ACUCCUACGGGAGGCAGCAGUGGGGAAUAUUGCACAAUGGGGGAAACCCUGAUGCAGCCAUGCCGCGUGUGUGAAGAAGGCCUUCGGGUUGUAAAGCACUUUCAGUAGGGAGGAAAGGAUGUAGUUUAAUACGCUAUAUCUGUGACGUUACCUACAGAAGAAGGACCGGCUAACUCCGUGCCAGCAGCCGCGGUAAUACA